AUGUCUGACAUAUCCUUCGUCCAGAAUCUUCCUAAGGGGGAUAAGAUGGAAAUGGCUCCAGAGCUUUCCUACAACAUGUUCAAAGUUGCUUCUAUUUUUUCUCUUGUCUAUGUUGGACCGAUUGAUGUAUUGGCCCCGGGUAGUAUAUUCAAGGAGAUGGAUACUUGGAAAGAGAAGGUUAUAGUUAUGGAGUUGAAGUGUACCAACUUUUAG
This is a non-coding RNA of Vicia faba (fava bean), 213 nucleotides long. The record is from the annotation of a GenBank genome assembly. Lineage: Eukaryota; Viridiplantae; Streptophyta; Magnoliopsida; Fabales; Fabaceae.